RNAcentral lists this ribosomal RNA (22 nucleotides) under Pseudocercospora macadamiae. RNAcentral's name for it is "partial 28S ribosomal RNA". The record is from RNAcentral. Lineage: Eukaryota; Fungi; Ascomycota; Dothideomycetes; Mycosphaerellales; Mycosphaerellaceae.
AAGGUUGACCUCGGAUCAGGUA